This 253-nucleotide ribosomal RNA is filed under the name uncultured bacterium. RNAcentral's name for it is "partial 16S ribosomal RNA". It matches the Rfam family "Bacterial small subunit ribosomal RNA", at positions 524 to 776 of the family's 1533-position model. The record is from RNAcentral.
UACAGAGGUCCCAAGCGUUGUUCGGAUUCACUGGGCGUAAAGCGCGCGUAGGCGGCUCGGAAAGUCGGGCGUGAAAUGCCGGGGCUCAACCCCGGGACUGCGUCCGAUACUCCCGAGCUGGAGGUAGGUAGGGGAGAUCGGAAUUCCUGGUGUAGCGGUGAAAUGCGCAGAUAUCAGGAGGAACACCGGUGGCGAAGGCGGAUCUCUGGGCCUUACCUGACGCUGAGGCGCGAAAGCUAGGGGAGCGAACAGG